GACGAACGCUGGCGGCGUGCUUAACACAUGCAAGUCGAACGGAGCGAUUUAUUUCGGUAAAUCGCUUAGUGGCAAACGGGUGAGUAACGCGUAGGCAACCUGCCCUCAGGUUGGGGACAACGGCUCGAAAGAGCCGCUAAUACCGAAUGACGUAACUCUUCCACAUGGAAGAGAUACUAAAGAUGGGUCAAACCAUCGCCUAAGGAUGGGCCUGCGUCUGAUUAGCCAGUUGGUGAGGUAACGGCUCACCAAAGCGACGAUCAGUAGCCGGUCUGAGAGGAUGAACGGCCACAAUGGGACUGAGACACGGCCCAUACUCCUACGGGAGGCAGCAGUGGGGAAUCUUCCGCAAUGGGGGAAAGCCUGACGGAGCAACGCCGCGUGAGUGAAGAAGGUCUUCGGAUCGUAAAGCUCUGUUGUCGGGGACGAAAGGAAAGGGGAGGCAAUGCCC
RNAcentral lists this ribosomal RNA (451 nucleotides) under Veillonellaceae bacterium oral taxon 155. Its description in RNAcentral is "bacterial SSU rRNA". It matches the Rfam family "Bacterial small subunit ribosomal RNA", at positions 28 to 480 of the family's 1533-position model. Lineage: Bacteria; Bacillati; Bacillota; Negativicutes; Veillonellales; Veillonellaceae. The record is from RNAcentral.